UCUCCGUAGGUGAACCUGCGGAGGGAUCAUUACCGAGUGAGGGCUCACGCCCGACCUCCAACCCUUUGUAAUCCAUACCAUGUUGCCUCGGGGGCGACCCGGCCUUCGGGCGUCGGGGCCCCCGGUGGACCAUCAACGCUGCAUCUUUGCGUCGGAGUCUUAAUGAAUUUAAACAAAACUUUUAACAACGGAUCUCUUGGUUCUGGCAUCGAUGAAGAACGCAGC
Molecule: unclassified non-coding RNA, 225 nt
Filed under: uncultured fungus
Lineage: Eukaryota; Fungi
Description: sequence contains ITS1, 5.8S rRNA gene
Rfam family: 5.8S ribosomal RNA (bases 177-225)
Source: RNAcentral